GAUGAACGCUGGCGGCGUGCCUAAUACAUGCAAGUCGAGCGAACGGACGAGAAGCUUGCUUCUCUGAUGUUAGCGGCGGACGGGUGAGUAACACGUGGAUAACCUACCUAUAAGACUGGGAUAACUUCGGGAAACCGGAGCUAAAACCGGAUGAUAUUUUGAACCGCAUGGUUCAAAAGUGAAAGACGGUCUUGCUGUCACUUAUAGAUGGAUCCGCGCUGCAUUAGCUAGUUGGUAAGGUAACGGCUUACCAAGGCAACGAGGCAUAGCCGACCUGAGAGGGGGAUCGGCCACACUGGAACUGAGACACGGUCCAGACUCCUACGGGAGGCAGCAGUAGGGAAUCUUCCGCAAUGGGCGAAAGCCUGACGGAGCAACGCCGCGUGAGUGAUGAAGGUCUUCGGAUCUUAAAACUCUGUUAUUAGGGAAGAACAUAUGUGUAAGUAACUGUGCACAUCUUGACGGUACCUAAUCAGAAAGCCACGGCUAACUACGUG
RNAcentral lists this ribosomal RNA (497 nucleotides) under uncultured bacterium. Its description in RNAcentral is "partial 16S ribosomal RNA". It matches the Rfam family "Bacterial small subunit ribosomal RNA", at positions 28 to 507 of the family's 1533-position model. The record is from RNAcentral.